AGGAACCCUAGGCCCACGAGCCAAUCUCGCGGCCGUCUCCCUCGCUUCCUCCGCAGCCUCGCAGCCGCCUCCCCCGCUCCCUCCGCACCGCAGCCGCCCUCCACAGCCCGCAGCCGCCUUCCCCGCUCCCUCUGCACCUAGCCCCCCGCUCCCCUCCUUCUCUACUCUGCUCUCCACUAUGCCGCCUCCUCCUCUCUCACUUUUCUCUCCGGCGGCGGUGCCAAAGAAGGCGCACACGGGCGGUGGAUCCGUGCCGGAGAAGAGCUGCGGGGACUGCGCUUCGGUCGUGGUGGGGUGCAGCCGCGGGGAAGACGAACUUGGUCCGCCGCCCGUCUUCACCUUCUCGCCGCGACCUUGCUGCCUCCAUGGCCAAACACACGUAUUUUUUUUUCUGUCCCUCCAUGGCGCUCGUUGCCGGCGGCAUCUCUCUUUUCCCCCUUACCCUCCCUUUUUAUCUACCUGCUGUUGCUCAUCCUCCAAUCUCUUAAAUUCAGACAGGCUGGACGCAACGCACACGGUCUAGGAAGGCCACGACAUGACUAGAUAUUUGCUUGCUUGGUUUAGUCGCUUGUAAUCAGUGCUGUCAUUGACAAGGAAAGGAGAGGAGACUACUUGAAGAAAACGUCCAGGUUGGGCCACAUAUCACAGAUGGAAUUCAGGAUUGGAUCGAACGCGUGGCGAUAAAGCUGGUUGACGGUAAACAAGGGACUCCUGAUGUUUGUGUGAUAGUUUCGUUGGAACUAUAGUUCCUUCGGAUGUUCCCAUAGCUAUGUAAGUCUGCCCAGUGCAGGGACAAAAUCUUUUCUCACCGCGCAUAAUGACAGUGGCACUCUUGAUGAGGGGAUAUUGAAUCAAUGCAUUUUAUUGAAGCAUUAGGUCAAUUUUCAUACCGUGUAGGACCUGGAAAUUUUUGCCUCGUCCAUGUCAACCUUGUUCCAGUACUAAAUGUAGUUGGUGAGCAGAUUUGCAUAGAGCGGACCACCUUGCAACAGUGUUGGGUUAUAUAACCCAUGGUUUCUUCAUGAUUC
Triticum dicoccoides is the source of this 1028-nucleotide long non-coding RNA. RefSeq lists it as uncharacterized. Lineage: Eukaryota; Viridiplantae; Streptophyta; Magnoliopsida; Poales; Poaceae. The transcript is spliced from 6 exons. The record is from RefSeq and is a predicted model, not a curated record.